This 496-nucleotide long non-coding RNA is filed under the name Marmota monax (woodchuck). The record is from RNAcentral. Lineage: Eukaryota; Metazoa; Chordata; Mammalia; Rodentia; Sciuridae.
GUGGGACAGUGUGUCCCUGUCAUUAAUGAAACCAAUGUGCAGGCCGCAUGGUGGACAUUCCAGCCAGCUGAUACUAAUGCACGUAUGCUGGACAGCCUGAUGAGGACCUGGACUGACAUCCCAACUCUUCUCAUCAUCUGCCUGAUCCUCUGUAUUGUCCUCACCACUCUCAAACUCUACAGUAGUCUCUUGACCCUGGUGAGAAAGGUGACUUCUCCUUAUGACCAUCUCCUCAGCCAGCCAUCAACUCCACACAUAGGUUCCUGACCUGAUCUCUGCUGAGUAAGUGUGCAUCUGCUGGAUUUAAGGCCUAAGACUUAAGACUUUAAAUCUAGCACUUAAUCUUAGCAUGGAGAGGGAAUGUCUGUCUGUAAGGGGUCUGUCAUGAUUAAGAGUGUUUGCAGUCCUUAGAGUUAACUUAGAAUGUGUUUUUGCUCUAAAUUAGCUGUGCUUAUUGCUUUUAUCAUCCUAAAUUAUUGUAUUUGUAGUGCCUAGC